Molecule: ribosomal RNA, 451 nt
Rfam family: 5.8S ribosomal RNA (bases 142-295)
AUUACCGAGAGACUGAGGUCUAACCGGCCUCGACUCUUCAUCCGUGAUAAGUCAACGCUGUUGCUUUGGCUGGCUUCAGUCAGCCGAAGAAUGAACUAAAUUCUUUUAUAUUUGCAGUCGGAGUAAUCAUUUAAUAGUUAAAACUUUCAACAACGGAUCUCUUGGUUCUGGCAUCGAUGAAGAACGCAGCGAAAUGCGAUAAGUAAUGUGAAUUGCAGAAUUCCGUGAAUCAUCGAAUCUUUGAACGCACAUUGCGCCCUUUGGUAUUCCGAAGGGCAUGCCUGUUCGAGCGUCAUUGCAACCCUCAAGCAUUGCUUGGUAUUGGUUAUCGUCCUCAGACGUAGCCGAAAUUCCGUGGCGGUCCAGCGAGACUUCAAGCGAUCAAGAUUUCAUAUCCCGCUUUGCAAGCACCUCGCAGGUUCAGCCAGUUAAAAAAUUUUUCACGAUUGAC